Molecule: ribosomal RNA, 252 nt
Filed under: uncultured bacterium
Lineage: Bacteria
Description: partial 16S ribosomal RNA
Rfam family: Bacterial small subunit ribosomal RNA
Source: RNAcentral
GACGAACCGAGCAAACGUUAUUCGGAAUGAUUGGGCGUAAAGCGUCCGCAGGUGGCAGUUCAAGUCUGCUGUCGAAGACCGGGGCUUAACCUCGGAAAGGCAGUGGAAACUGAACAGCUAGAGUAUGGUAGGGGCAAAGGGAGUUCCUGGUGUAGCGGUGAAAUGCGUAGAGAUCAGGAAGAACAUCGGUGGCGAAGGCGCUUUGCUGGACCAUAACUGACACUCAGGGACGAAAGCUAGGGGAGCGAAUGG